RNAcentral lists this ribosomal RNA (398 nucleotides) under uncultured bacterium. Its description in RNAcentral is "bacterial SSU rRNA". It matches the Rfam family "Bacterial small subunit ribosomal RNA", at positions 28 to 414 of the family's 1533-position model. The record is from RNAcentral.
GAUGAACGCUAGCUACAGGCUUAACACAUGCAAGUCGAGGGGAAACAAUAUUGAAAGCUUGCUUUCGAUAGGCGUCGACCGGCGCACGGGUGAGUAACGCGUAUCCAACCUGCCUGGAAAUAGGGAAUAAUCCGUGGAAACGCGGCCUAAUGUCCUAUGUGCUCCGAAGAGGACAUCUGAUUUGGAGUAAAGAUUCAUCGUUUCCGGAUGGGGAUGCGUCUGAUUAGCUUGCUGGCGGGGUAACGGCCCACCAGGGCGACGAUCAGUAGGGGUUCUGAGAGGAAGGUCCCCCCACAUUGGAACUGAGACACGGUCCAAACUCCUACGGGAGCAGCAGUGAGGAAUAUUGGGUCAAUGGGCGAGAGCCUGAACCAGCCAAGUAGCGUGCAGGAUGACGG